Molecule: unclassified non-coding RNA, 240 nt
Filed under: soil metagenome
Description: partial contains 5.8S ribosomal RNA, internal transcribed spacer 2, and large subunit ribosomal RNA
Source: RNAcentral
AACUGAUACUACCUGCGGGAACCUGCGGAAGGAUCAUUACUGAAUAGCAAAACGGGAAAGACUGAUGCUGACUUUUUGUAUGUGCACGUCUUUUCUAAUGCAUUCAAAAUCUUCAUUUAUACACUAGUGCACAUUUGUAGACUUGAGGUAAUCAAGUCUAUGUUUGGUUUUAUAUAACACGCUUUUAAAAAAAGUUGUUGUUUUUGAUAAUGAAUUUUGAUACAACUUUCAACAACGGAU